Molecule: non-coding RNA, 282 nt
Organism: Camelus ferus (Wild Bactrian camel)
Lineage: Eukaryota; Metazoa; Chordata; Mammalia; Artiodactyla; Camelidae
Rfam family: 7SK RNA
About the family: 7SK was discovered as an abundant small nuclear RNA in the mid-70s but a possible function has only recently been suggested. Two independent studies have found that 7SK RNA binds the CDK9/cyclin T complex (known as elongation factor P-TEFb).
Source: Rfam
GGAUGUGACGGGGACCUGGCUGCAUCCUCUCUUCCCCACUGAUGACCAGGGUUUAUUUAGUUGCUCUGACCAUCAAGACCGGCUUCUCCUUCCUCCGUUACCAUUCCAGGAGGGCCCCUGUGGAAGCUGCAGUCCCAGUGGAGAAGGGUGACCUUCUCAGAUAAAGGCGACCGUUUCUUGGGAAGGGGGAGGGCAGUGGUUUUGCUCCCUGACACAGCGGGGCUUAUGGGAGAACUCCCUCCAGGAAGCCCUGACUAACCGCUUCAUCUGGAAGUGGCCUUU